CCUACGGGAGGCAGCAGUGGGGAAUAUUGCACAAUGGGGGAAACCCUGAUGCAGCGACGCCGCGUGAGUGAAGAAGGAUUUCGGUAUGUAAAGCUCUAUCAGCAGGGAAGAAAAUGGAGGUACCUGUUUAAGAAGCCCCGGCUAACUACGUGCCAGCAGCCGCGGUAAUACGUAGGGGGCAAGCGUUAUCCGGAUUUACUGGGUGUAAAGUGAGCGGAGACGGCAGCACAAGUCUGGAGUGAAAUGCCGGGGCUUAACCCCGGAACUGCUUUGGAUACUGGGCAGCUAGAGUGCAGGAGAGGUAAGUGGAAUUCCUAGUGUAGCGGUGAAAUGCGUAGAUAUUAGGAGGAACACCAGUGGCGAAGGCGGCUUACUGGACUGUAACUGACGUUGAGGCUCGAAAGCGUGGGGAGCAAACAGGAUUAGAUACCCCGGUAGUC
This 440-nucleotide ribosomal RNA is filed under the name uncultured bacterium. RNAcentral describes it as "partial 16S ribosomal RNA". It matches the Rfam family "Bacterial small subunit ribosomal RNA", at positions 338 to 795 of the family's 1533-position model. The record is from RNAcentral.